This is an unclassified non-coding RNA of Stylophora pistillata, 3154 nucleotides long. Lineage: Eukaryota; Metazoa; Cnidaria; Anthozoa; Scleractinia; Pocilloporidae. The record is from RefSeq and is a predicted model, not a curated record.
GAUCAAUAUUUUCCGUCCAACACUCCUCAUUAUUUAUUGCUACUCUUUAUUGACGUUGAACAACCUAACCCUAAAGUAGUAGUUAAGAUUGGUCAUUUUAGUUCACGUAAUGUUCCUGUAAGGAACCACAUUAACCUAAAAUCUUUCAGCUAGAAUUGAAAGCAUUUUCAAGAACACGUACUCGACAUUUCGGUGAAGACUUUCCAAACCACACCGUAAUGGCCUUUCGCUGGAGAAUUCGACGAAACCUUAUUCUGCUGCUAAUUUUCACUUUCAUAUCUGUCGGUUUGUUUUUCGCUUUACUCCAAACAUCCCGAGACGUUGUCAAGAACAGAAACGUAUUACAGUCUGGUAGUAUGUUUAUUACAACAUCAAAUCUAACGACCAACGAGGCCCCUUUGGAAACUCAAAACAGAACCAACUCAGUUAACGAUUCUACAGAGAGGACGUUGAAGCAUAAGGUGAAAAAUCGUCAGAUCGUGUUGGUGGUUGCGCAUGGCAGAUCUGGUUCUACAUUUCUUGCUGAUAUUUUUGACAAGCAUCCACGAGUCUUUUACGUGUUCGAACCACUGCACGGGAUAGGGAAAAUUCAAGUCGGGGAUUACGAUACAUUUGCGAUGAAUUUUCUUCAACACAUUUUUCAAUGUAACUUCAGUAUGGGUAAUACAAGCAAGGAGAUGGGUCGUUUCUUUCGUUUCUACAGCCGAGCGUUAAGUUCUCCACCGUUUUGCAAGUACAACCAAGGCGAUCCAAAAUGGAGGAGAAAGUACUGUUCGCCUGUGACUCAAAAAAAGCUUGAACACUCGUGUAAAGUGCUACACAACACAGUCGUUUAUAAGCUUCUUUUAGACAGAGUCCCUGGCCAAUCAGUUGAGAGACUUUUCCACGUGUGCGAAAUGGCAGAUGUUGAAUGCAAAAUCAUUUAUUUAGUACGUGAUUUAAGACCACUUGUAAUGUCCUCUCGCAAAGUAGCCUUUUUCCGAGAGGUUGAUCGGAAGACAAGACCAUCCUUAAGACAGUUCGUUUAUUCUUGCUGUGAAAUGAUUGAAAGGAAUCUUGAUAUAGUGAAAAAUUUUCCUCCAUCUCUUCGCAGUCGUCUGAGACUGGUGCGAUUUGAAGACUUAGCAGCUGAACCACUGCAAGUUUUCGAUUCUUUGUAUAGAUUCGCAGGACUUGAAAUGUUAGAAAAUAUCAAACAAUGGAUCGUGAAAAUAACACAGCCGAGUUUUGAUCACUUGAAAAACGAGGAAAAACGCUCAGUUUCUAUGGUAAGAAACUCACUGGAAGUUCUGAACAGGUGGCGAUUUUCGGCAGAUUCUUGUUUCGUGGAUGUGAUUGAGCGAUAUUGCCGUGAUGUGAUGAAAUUAAUGGGCUAUAUUGCAACACAUGGUUCUGUGGAAAUGCUCCAAAAUUCAACGAUUCCACUGUUUAACAAGAAUUUCACUGCGCAAAAUUGGAUCUAGGGAUUGCAGUCUGCCAGCUGAGUGCGUCCGCAGUGAGUAAGUCUCCCCGUCGGCCUGUCCUUUCAUUGAUUUUCAGGUCAGACCGUCUGUCUCUGCAGUUUUUCGUCCGUGCUUCUUUCUGCACAUCUGAAAUUUCUUUUCCAUCUUCCACAUUGACUUAAGUGUUUUAUCAUUGAGCCGUCGGCGACCAAACUGAGACAAAGUUUUGUUUCAGCCCCUUUCGUGAUGUUUUGAACAUCAAAAAGAUUCUUUGGAAUUAAAAAUGUAUCCUACGGUAAUGAUCAAACGAUCUAAUUUCUUGCUCAGUUAGGGAGCCGCCAUUUCUCCAAUUAAUUCUUCAGUUCUUUUGUGGCCAUUUUGAAAGAACUAUCUUCACGACGGGGAAAGAAGCCAUUUCACGAUAGGUGCAGUGCUGUGAUUGGCUAGUUCAGAGCUAUAUGCACGCGCGAUUCACUGUACGCAACUACACUGAAUUGACACCAAACCAGCCAAUGAAACACGUUUGAAUGCAAUCAGCUUUCGUUUUCUCAUAAAAGACAAAUAAAUAUCUAACUUUAGGCUUGAGCAAAAUGCACACAAGAAUAUUACUUCAUCACGUUUGCGUCAUAAACUCUGGCUCUGGAUAUCCACGCUCUGGUACUGGAUUCACUUUACAAAGGAGAACUACCCGUGUGAAGUGUGAUCUCUCAGGAAAGAGUGAGUUGACCAUAUUUGGAGUUCUUCGUAUUCACGUCACCCUCAGUGCCAAAAGGCCUACGAUGGUGAUCAGAUUGAUAACGCAUGAGAGUUAAUGUUUUAGCAGAUUGUACCGCUCUUCACCAAGGUGUUUUUGAUUUCAUUAAUGUGAACUGAAAAUUUUCCACCUGCAGUGUGGUAGAGUGGUACUUAAAACAGACCAAACAGUAAACAUACUAUGGCAUUGGGAGAAUUCUGUGGUCUUUGUUUUCAGUUUCAUCUAAAAUCUUUGUGCUAUGUUUUUUGUUUAGUUCUGUGUAGUACAGAAGGGUUGAAAACAUAUUUAGUCUCUGGGAUUUAGUUUACAUUUUGCUUAACAUGUCAAGUGCAGCUAUUGAAAUUACUAUUCAAUUUAACAAUCAUGAUUUGGGCGUUAAAAAAAACGCGUUUCGUCUCUUUCGGUUUGCUUUUGAAAGUUCUUUCAAUGUACUUGCGUAAUUUUGUUGUGUGCAGUUUAGAAUAGCCUUCAGACUCUCCUAUACAAGUUGAAAUUUAUUAAACUUUUUUAAUGAGGCCACAUUGUUAUUGUAAUUUCAUUUACAUUGAUUUUGCACUCGACAUAGUUCUCUAAAAAUCAGUUUUGAAGGAAAUGUUCACUAUUUUGCAUACACAAACCAACCCAUAGUAACAGCGGAAGCUGGUGAUAUUCACCUUGCAACUCCAUAUAGGAAAUGUUCGCAGUUAUACGUUUACAACCUGCUGUUUUAUUUGGGGAUGAAACCAUCGAAAACACGAGGACAUUAAAGAUUUAGGUCGAUCGACGUAAAUUUGAAACCAUGCAGUCUUCAAUUUCAGUUGUAUGAAGGCUAACAAGGACAUAGUUCGUUUGAUAGAGUUCUGUAUUUCUUAAUUUCUUUUGCAGCUGCGAGGACGCAUUUAAAGAUUCUCAUUUAUCAGCGUUGUCAACAAUGGCUAGAUGGGCAAAAAUUCGGUUUGGUUUUGGUUUCUUAUUGUUC